This 29-nucleotide non-coding RNA is filed under the name Rattus norvegicus (Norway rat). The record is from RNAcentral. Lineage: Eukaryota; Metazoa; Chordata; Mammalia; Rodentia; Muridae.
UAAAUUGUACCUGCUGCCCUUCUCUGUGU